This 240-nucleotide ribosomal RNA is filed under the name uncultured bacterium. RNAcentral describes it as "partial 16S ribosomal RNA". It matches the Rfam family "Bacterial small subunit ribosomal RNA", at positions 524 to 763 of the family's 1533-position model. The record is from RNAcentral.
UACGGAGGAUCCGAGCGUUAUCCGGAUUUAUUGGGUUUAAAGGGAGCGUAGGUGGAUUGUUAAGUCAGUUGUGAAAGUUUGCGGCUCAACCGUAAAAUUGCAGUUGAAACUGGCAGUCUUGAGUACAGUAGAGGUGGGCGGAAUUCGUGGUGUAGCGGUGAAAUGCUUAGAUAUCACGAAGAACUCCGAUUGCGAAGGCAGUUCACUGGACUGCAACUGACACUGAGGCUCGAAAGUGUG